Molecule: ribosomal RNA, 49 nt
Filed under: Phormidium sp. 7D6
Lineage: Bacteria; Bacillati; Cyanobacteriota; Cyanophyceae; Oscillatoriales; Oscillatoriaceae
Description: partial 23S ribosomal RNA
Source: RNAcentral
GGUCAAGCUACAAAGAGCUUAUGGUGGAUACCAGCCCCACAAAAGANAA